This 787-nucleotide small RNA is filed under the name Pan troglodytes (chimpanzee). RNAcentral describes it as "processed transcript". Lineage: Eukaryota; Metazoa; Chordata; Mammalia; Primates; Hominidae. The record is from RNAcentral.
GGUUCACGGCAAGGGUGGAACCGGAUUCUGCCUGGAUGGGGAUCUGGAUGGGGGUGGGGGGUUGAUUUGGGAAGCAGAGCACAGCAGCCCAAAUUUGCUUGUAAUGUCGGCGGCUACAGAGGAAAGGCCAAGAAUGGACAGAUUAAUAAAGGGCCAUCUACAAGCCACGAAUAAGGCCAUCACCAGAAGCCAACCCCGCCAGUCCUUGAUCUAGGACUUCCAGACUUCAAAACUUUUCUAGCCUGCUGGCCUGCCUUCACUGUCCUGGGGGACGCUCGGGGAGACCAGGUGGACUGGAGUAGACUGUUGAGAGACACUGGUCUGGUGAAGAUGUCCAGGAAACCACGAGCCUCCAGCCCAUUGUCCAACAACCACCCACCAACACCAAAGAGGCGAGGAAGUGGAAGGUUCCCAAGACAACCCGGAAGGGAAAAGGGACCCAUCAAGGAAGUUCCAGGAACAAAAGCCUCUCCCUAAAAGACCACCGCUUCAAAAAAACCUGAGGAAUGGAGUGGGCCAACACUAUCCAGCCACUCUGACCAGCCGAACGAGGAACUCAAUCAAAAUGAGCCAUAGCGGGACCACAAGGGCAAGGAGACCACCACCUUCUACAGUCUCUCUUCGGGCAGCCAGUAAUUCCCGGGCAAGGCCAGAGACUUCAAGUCUAUCUGAAAAGUCUCCAGAGGUCUAACCCCAGAUAAAUAGCCAACAGGGUGUAAAGUACAUUUUACACCCCAAAGGGUGUGCCCCAUGGUGAUGAAAAUAAAGUGAACAUGUUGCAAAAUGA